This 24-nucleotide microRNA is filed under the name Zea mays. RNAcentral describes it as "microRNA miR-3211". Lineage: Eukaryota; Viridiplantae; Streptophyta; Magnoliopsida; Poales; Poaceae. The record is from RNAcentral.
CGGCUGCAGGAGCUGUGCCAGAAG